GCGCCCGUAGCUCAGCUGGAUAGAGCAGCGGACUUCUAAUCCGCCGGUCGCAGGUUCGAAUCCUGCCGGGCGCGCCU
Molecule: transfer RNA, 77 nt
Filed under: uncultured Chloroflexia bacterium
Lineage: Bacteria; Bacillati; Chloroflexota; Chloroflexia
Description: tRNA-Arg-TCT
Rfam family: tRNA
About the family: Transfer RNA (tRNA) molecules are approximately 80 nucleotides in length. Their secondary structure includes four short double-helical elements and three loops (D, anti-codon, and T loops).
Source: RNAcentral